This 276-nucleotide ribosomal RNA is filed under the name uncultured bacterium. RNAcentral's name for it is "partial 16S ribosomal RNA". It matches the Rfam family "Bacterial small subunit ribosomal RNA", at positions 29 to 334 of the family's 1533-position model. The record is from RNAcentral.
AACGAACGCUGGCGGCAGGCCUAACACAUGCAAGUCGAACGCUCCUUCGGGAGAGUGGCGCACGGGUGAGUAACGCGUGGGAACGUACCUUUUAGUAUGGAAUAGCCUCGGGAAACUGGGAUUAAUACCGUAUACGCCCUUCGGGGGAAAGAUUUAUCGCUAAAAGAUCGGCCCGCGUUAGAUUAGGUUGUUGGUGGGGUAAUGGCCUACCAAGCCUACGAUCUAUAGCUGGUCUGAGAGGAUGAUCAGCCACACUGGAACUGAGACACGGUCCAG